RNAcentral lists this ribosomal RNA (253 nucleotides) under uncultured bacterium. RNAcentral describes it as "partial 16S ribosomal RNA". It matches the Rfam family "Bacterial small subunit ribosomal RNA", at positions 524 to 776 of the family's 1533-position model. The record is from RNAcentral.
UACAGAGGCCCCGAGCGUUAUUCGGAAUCACUGGGCUUAAAGGGUGCGUAGGCGGACUCGUAAGUGUCGUGUGAAAGCCCACCGCUUAACGGUGGAACUGCACGGCAAACUGCAAGUCUCGAGGAAGGUAGAGGCCGGUAGAACGAAUGGUGGAGCGGUGGAAUGCGUAGAUAUCAUUCGGAAUGCCAAAGGUGAAGACAGCCGGCUGGGCCUUUCCUGACGCUGAGGCACGAAAGCGUGGGGAGCAAACAGG